Molecule: ribosomal RNA, 459 nt
Filed under: uncultured bacterium
Lineage: Bacteria
Description: bacterial SSU rRNA
Rfam family: Bacterial small subunit ribosomal RNA
Source: RNAcentral
AACGAACGCUGGCGGCAUGCCUAACACAUGCAAGUCGAACGGGAUCUUGACUUCGGUCAGGUGAGAGUGGCGGACGGGUGAGUAACACGUGGGAACCUGCCUUUUGGUUCGGGAUAACCGCGGGAAACUGCGGCUAAUACCGGAUACUCCCGAGAGGGGAAAGAUUUAUCGCCAGAAGAGGGGCCCGCGUCCGAUUAGGUAGUUGGUGGGGUAAUGGCCUACCAAGCCGACGAUCGGUAGCUGGUCUGAGAGGAUGAUCAGCCACACUGGGACUGAGAUACGGCCCAGACUCCUACGGGAGGCAGCAGUGGGAAUAUUGGACAAUGGGCGAAAGCCUGAUCCAGCAAUGCCGCGUGAGUGAUGAAGGCCUUAGGGUUGUAAAGCUCUUUUACCCGGGAUGAUAAUGACAGUACCGGGAGAAUAAGCCCCGGCUAACUCCGUGCCAGCAGCCGCGGUAAU